This 310-nucleotide long non-coding RNA is filed under the name Panax ginseng (ginseng). Its description in RNAcentral is "long non-coding RNA (PGIN_LNC016730)". The record is from RNAcentral. Lineage: Eukaryota; Viridiplantae; Streptophyta; Magnoliopsida; Apiales; Araliaceae.
GGGAUAUUACAUCAAUUACAUUCAUCGUUAUCCAUCCCAUGAACCCCAUGUUCAUUAUUCUUUCUUAAUGUCGAAGCCAUACCAUUCCUUGUAUGCUAAGACCGAUCGUUCCUCGCAACAAUGUUGCGUUCACAGCGUCUAUACGCUUUACACUUAUCUCUCAUUAUCACAACAUAACAUCGAAAUGUUUCUUGUUACUUCGUCACUCAACGUCUAAGGAAUCACAAUCAUAGUAAUUCCUCACAUUCAUUUCAUCACGACUACGGUCCCCGGAUAUCGGUUACGUAAUCUAGCAUUUACAUUAUUUUAG